Molecule: long non-coding RNA, 1337 nt
Organism: Orbicella faveolata
Lineage: Eukaryota; Metazoa; Cnidaria; Anthozoa; Scleractinia; Merulinidae
Source: RefSeq, a predicted model, not a curated record
UUUCUAAGGGAAAAGUCCCAUCUUCUGCGAUAAAAGAAUUUGACAAAGAAAUAACCUGAAGAUAUUGCAUCAUAUGUAUAUAGCAACAAAAAUGAGCAAAUAUUGGGCGGUUUGUUUAGGGAAAAAUCCCUUGACUUGUUUACAGCUAUCAGAUGAAACCUAUAAAGAAGUAGGGAAAGAACCCUUUACGGAUCGCCCAAUGAGAUGUUAGAAUCUCGAGAAUGAAGUUUUCUUAUUGGUUAGAAAGAGGAGAUAAACACCUAAAAUAAGACGUCAUUGAGGUUAUAAAUUUCCAUACCUCUAACGCGCCAAGUUCAAAUUAGCAAACAUUCAUCCACGAUAUCCACAAGAUAGACCACGGUCCCCUGAAAGAGCUCGAGAAGCUGCAGUCCCCACCAGUCGAGAAGUAUUAAAGCCAAAAAAGGUGCGCCAAAGUUGAACGUGACGAAAUGGUAUCAAAUAUUUGUGAAAGGUUAAUAGAAGAGGAGUGGAGGGCAUAUGAUGUCGAAAACAUACCCCGUGGCAUUGAAGGCAUAUAUUGCAUCGGUGUUUUACCCGGCGCCCCGCGACAGUUCCAUCUCGGGGGGCCAACGGUCCUUUACGUCGGUCGAACGAACGACGUCCACAGGCGACUUGUUGAGCAUAAGCGCCAGUAUUUGAAGAUUGAUCUCUUUGUCAAAGAAGAGUUUGAGGACAAUGGAGGUGAAGACUUACGAAUCAAAUGGGUGAUGGAGAGGAACCAAGAGAUCAAGGAGAAGGAAUACAUUGAAUGUAUUGCGCAUAAAUUAGGUUAUUGGCCUAAAUAUAACAUCAGGCGUUGAAAAGACGUUUGCAUAGGUUUUAGUUGGUCAGUGCAGCUUGUGAGUCAAGUAGACCUCAAAAGUUGUCUUUUAAAUUUUAAAAUUUAAUAACUGUUUAAAUCGGUUCUUGUUUUGUAUUUUAUUACUUUUAUUGCAAUGAUUUCACAAACAUAUAAACAGAGAAAUUUAAAUCAGUUAUGUCCAAUGCACUAGCAUUUUCCCACACGAUCUGUGGCUGAUAGGACCUGGUUUUCCUUGCUUCCACCUUGUAUCCAGGUACUCAUUUGUCCUCUGAGUAAAAUUUUAUUAUUAAUGAAUUUAGUACAGUGCUCAUGAGAUUAAAUGUUUUUCACAGAAAGAAUUUUUGAGCGGGAAUUUCUUUACUUCAGUUGUUUGAUUGUUCGGCAAGCUCUGAGUUGUUAGACCUUAUUAAAUUUAUUAUUCAAGUCUUCGGCGUGAUGUUUGAGUAAAACUUUGGCUUCUAGUACAACUUUGGUGGUGUCCCUGUAUACACGAAAUCGCAUAGAGUUCUAUGAA